RNAcentral lists this ribosomal RNA (1284 nucleotides) under Psychroflexus sp. Its description in RNAcentral is "bacterial SSU rRNA". It matches the Rfam family "Bacterial small subunit ribosomal RNA", at positions 118 to 1404 of the family's 1533-position model. The record is from RNAcentral. Lineage: Bacteria; Pseudomonadati; Bacteroidota; Flavobacteriia; Flavobacteriales; Flavobacteriaceae.
UAUACAAUUUACCUUAUACUAAGGGAUAGCCCGAAGAAAUUUGGAUUAAUACCUUAUAGUAUUUUUAAAUCGCAUGAUUUAAGAAUUAAAGAUUACGGUAUAAGAUGAGUAUGCGUCCUAUUAGUUAGUAGGUGAGGUAACGGCUCACCUAGACGAUGAUAGGUAGGGGUCCUGAGAGGGAGGUCCCCCACACUGGUACUGAGACACGGACCAGACUCCUACGGGAGGCAGCAGUGAGGAAUAUUGGACAAUGGAAGGAAUUCUGAUCCAGCCAUGCCGCGUGCAGGAAGACUGCCCUAUGGGUUGUAAACUGCUUUUAUACAGGAAGAAAAAAGUGUACGUGUACACUAUUGACGGUACUGUACGAAUAAGGAUCGGCUAACUCCGUGCCAGCAGCCGCGGUAAUACGGAGGAUCCAAGCGUUAUCCGGAAUCAUUGGGUUUAAAGGGUCCGUAGGCGGGAGAUUAAGUCAGUGGUGAAAGUUUGUGGCUCAACCAUAAAAUUGCCAUUGAUACUGGUUUUCUUGAGUUAUUGUGAAGUGGUUAGAAUGAGUAGUGUAGCGGUGAAAUGCAUAGAUAUUACUCAGAAUACCGAUUGCGAAGGCAGAUCACUAACAAUACACUGACGCUGAUGGACGAAAGCGUAGGUAGCGAACAGGAUUAGAUACCCUGGUAGUCUACGCCGUAAACGAUGGUUACUAGCUGUUCGGGCAAAUUGAUGUCUGAGUGGCUAAGCGAAAGUGAUAAGUAACCCACCUGGGGAGUACGUUCGCAAGAAUGAAACUCAAAGGAAUUGACGGGGGCCCGCACAAGCGGUGGAGCAUGUGGUUUAAUUCGAUGAUACGCGAGGAACCUUACCAGGGCUUAAAUGCAUAUUGACAGGACUAGAGAUAGUUUUUUCUUCGGACAAUUUGCAAGGUGCUGCAUGGUUGUCGUCAGCUCGUGCCGUGAGGUGUCAGGUUAAGUCCUAUAACGAGCGCAACCCCUGUGGUUAGUUGCCAGCGAGUAAUGUCGGGAACUCUAGCCAGACUGCCGGUGCAAACCGUGAGGAAGGUGGGGAUGACGUCAAAUCAUCACGGCCCUUACGUCCUGGGCUACACACGUGCUACAAUGGUGCAUACAGAGAGCAGCCACUUCGCGAGGAGGAGCUAAUCUACAAAGUGCAUCUCAGUUCGGAUUGGAGUCUGCAACUCGACUCUAUGAAGCUGGAAUCGCUAGUAAUCGCAUAUCAGCCAUGAUGCGGUGAAUACGUUCCCGGGCCUUGUACACACCGCCCGUCAAGCCA